Long non-coding RNA from Salvia splendens (bonfire salvia), 1312 nucleotides. RefSeq lists it as uncharacterized. Lineage: Eukaryota; Viridiplantae; Streptophyta; Magnoliopsida; Lamiales; Lamiaceae. The record is from RefSeq and is a predicted model, not a curated record. The transcript is spliced from 2 exons.
UUGAGAACGCCGUCUCCCUCUUUCUUCCCAUUUCCUUAGCGACCGCCCGAGGCGUCGCGUGAGACGCCGGUCGGCCGCUCACGCCCAUAAUUCCUCCGUUGGCUCCUCGUAUUUUUCUCAACGAUAUCGAAUUAAAUCCUAAGAUUUAAUUGAGCACAUGAAUUAAUUAUCGAAGAUGUUUUCCCUCGCAAUAUAUUUAUUUCGGACUUGGGAUAAAUUAUUCAUCCUUCGAAAUAUUCCAAAAAUUAACUAAAUAAUUCUCAACAAUUAAAUUAUCGGCCCAAGGAUUAAUUAACUUGACCCAAGAUAAUUGUUAUCUUAGUCCACCUUAUUUCACCAAUUUAUUUAGUGAGGCCAAAAGAAAAUAGCCCAAAUUAAUAUAUCCCCAUCCUUAUUUCUCCAUUUAUGUAAUAAUGCCCAACUAAUAAAAGAAGCUCCAACUCAAUUCCUUAUUUAAUUUUACUCCAACAAUAUUAAAUUUCCAAGUCUACUAGUUUAAUUAGGUAGCCCCAAAUCCACAAAAUCUCUCGGCCCAAAGUAAAUUAAUUAUUAGGCCCCAAAUCCUUAAAUCCAAAUUCCUUCAUUUAAAAGGGACAAGCCCAAUUUCUUUAUUCUUCCAUUGGGCUCUCUUUUUCUUUUAAUCCAACAUGGCCCAAUUCUAAAGUCAAUGAGUCAAAUACUCCAUUCCACUCCCAUCGGUACUUCUACAGAAUGUUUCCCCAAAUUUCUUAAAUCUUUCAAAAAAAAUCCCUAAGAAUUAGUGAAGGAGCAGCAAUUUCCUCUCUUCUUCUCCGACGAAAUCGCGUUAUAGUCGGCUCGCUCUCCACCGAUCAUUGUCACAGGCGUCUAGUCCUUUCUCCCGACGAGGUUUCCGACAGAGAAGGUGUCACUCCCUGCCUCCCUGCGAAGUUACCGAUAGGAAGGAGGCGUCGCCUCCCUUCCACGGCGUCGAUACCGGCCGCCGCUGCCUCCAACUCCUCACCGCCAAUCCUCCGUCGCACGCCGUCGCUGCUGUCUAAAGUCAACCGCUGCUGCUACCGCUGCACAGAGUCGGGCUGUUUGUUCGCCCCUGCUCCGUCGGUGGUCGUGCAGCCCCGAAACAUCACCGCAGCCCCCGAUUCGUCCCGAAACCAAUCCGAACCACCCCGCAAGGUAUAAUCGGUUCAAGUUCGUGGCUGUCCGCGUUGAAGCACCCGAUUUUCUUAGAACGUAGGAUGUAUAAAUUAAAUUUUGUUGGACUUUUGUUGGAUAUAUCGGACAUUAGAAUUUUGAUUAUAGUAAUUUAUUUAUUAAUUUAAAUUUAUUAUAUUCA